CACUUGCUGUGUCUAUUGUUGUUUUUGUAGUUUGUUAUUAUAUCUGCGCACCAUUGUUGUUGUUGUUGUCUGCUUUAAUGUAAUUGAACAUUUUCUAAUUGACACUUGUCACUGGCAAAAACAUUUUCAGAACUUCAUUUUGACGCAUUUACACACACAUUUAUUUCAAUUUCCUUAACAACAAAAGCAGCAGUAACACGAACAACAGUAACAACAACAGCGAUUGCAAACACGCAUACAAAAACAAAAUAAAGUUGUAGCACAAUAGCUCCGCCUGACAAUGCUACACGAAACGUGGCUCGGAAUUUAUUGCAUUGGCUCCAUAAGGAGCGUCGAAAAGGGGGGGAGCGCUGCCUGCCCGCUGCUAUGCUGCAGUUAAGGAAGAAAAAACACGCCCGCACACAAUACCACCAAAGACUGGCAGUCAGUCGUGAGUCCAUACCGAACAGGCGAUGCAACUAAAUACAAAAACCACGUGAUAAUGUUUUCAGAACAGCAACAGCAACAACAAUGUGUAUGGGUCUACACCUCAAAUGGGAUUUGCCAAUAAAAAAAGAAGGCAGUAGCGUUGUCUAUGGUAUAUCGGGUGUUGCAGCAGCCAGCAACUUUGGUAUUUGUCGUACUUGCCACAUGGUGUAUUGCAAACCGCAUUAGCCUUCACCAAGCCGUGCAAAUGCCGAUGCAAAUAAAAAAAUUAAAAAGCAGGCAAAACGUACAGCAAAUAUUGGAUAACUAGGCGAAUGCGUAAUAUGUUAGCUUUACACAGAGUCAACAUGCUUUAAGGUUCUGCUCAACAGCCGGAAUGAGAAAGUGUGUGCUCAAUUGCUGGUAAAUCUUUAAAGUAAGGAUGAUGUAGUUUUUACUUUACAUUUGUCAAGAAAUUAAACUUAUAAGACUCUUAAAAAACAUUUAUUUUGGUGAUUCUUUAUGAAGCCCGCUCUGUACUAAAAUGUAGUUGUUUAUUUUAUAAAUAUAAAUUAAAAUAGCCCAGCUCUUGCAAAAUAA
Drosophila montana is the source of this 1005-nucleotide long non-coding RNA. RefSeq lists it as uncharacterized. The transcript is spliced from 2 exons. Lineage: Eukaryota; Metazoa; Arthropoda; Insecta; Diptera; Drosophilidae. The record is from RefSeq and is a predicted model, not a curated record.